UACGUAGGUGACCAGCGUUGUCCGGAUUUACUGGGCGUAAAGAGUGUGUAGGCGGUGCUCUAAGUUUGUCGUGAAAUCUCCCGGCUUAACUGGGAGGGUGCGGCGAAAACUGGAAUGCUAGAGGAUGGGAGAGGUAAGCGGAAUUCCUGGUGUAGCGGUGAAAUGCGUAGAUAUCAGGAGGAACACCUGUGGUGUAGACAGCUUACUGGACCAUUUCUGACGCUGAGACACGAAAGCGUGGGUAGCAAACAGG
Molecule: ribosomal RNA, 253 nt
Filed under: uncultured bacterium
Lineage: Bacteria
Description: partial 16S ribosomal RNA
Rfam family: Bacterial small subunit ribosomal RNA
Source: RNAcentral